AUUCAUCAAGAGAAAUCUAUCACAUACACUGCAUUUGAAAAUUGCGUGUGCAAUAUGAUUAUGUUGCUAGACUGGGACUU
Molecule: small nucleolar RNA, 80 nt
Organism: Cavia aperea (Brazilian guinea pig)
Lineage: Eukaryota; Metazoa; Chordata; Mammalia; Rodentia; Caviidae
Source: Ensembl